This 153-nucleotide ribosomal RNA is filed under the name uncultured Streptococcus sp. RNAcentral describes it as "partial 16S ribosomal RNA". It matches the Rfam family "Bacterial small subunit ribosomal RNA", at positions 1232 to 1382 of the family's 1533-position model. Lineage: Bacteria; Bacillati; Bacillota; Bacilli; Lactobacillales; Streptococcaceae. The record is from RNAcentral.
GGUUGGUACAACGAGUUGCGAGUCGGUGACGGCGAGCUAAUCUACCUUAAAGCCAAUCUCAGUUCGGAUUGUAGGCUGCAACUCGCCUACAUGAAGUCGGAAUCGCUAGUAAUCGCGGAUCAGCACGCCGCGGUGAAUACGUUCCCGGGCCUU